UCACAGUGUAGCUCAGUGAUAGAGUGCUUAUCUAGCAUGUACAAGGUCCUGGAUUUGAUCCCCAGACUGUUAA
This 73-nucleotide transfer RNA is filed under the name Marmota monax (woodchuck). RNAcentral describes it as "tRNA.Ala". The record is from RNAcentral. Lineage: Eukaryota; Metazoa; Chordata; Mammalia; Rodentia; Sciuridae.